Molecule: long non-coding RNA, 572 nt
Organism: Pogoniulus pusillus (Red-fronted tinkerbird)
Lineage: Eukaryota; Metazoa; Chordata; Aves; Piciformes; Lybiidae
Exons: 3
Source: RefSeq, a predicted model, not a curated record
CAACAUAGUGAGAAAAGGAGAGAAAUGGAAAGACAUUUAAAUUUAGUGUGAUUAAGAGGAGACAGAGUAGAGGAAAAUAAGUGGUCAUGACCCUUCAUAAACAGCUUUUGCAGAAAACAGAAAACAGCAAGUUACUAAGAAACAGACUUUCUACACUAUCAGUCUUAUUAUUACAACUGCUCAACCUUCUCAGGAAGAGGAUUCGUUAGAUGUCUUAUGCUGGUAAAGCCCUGAAAGAAAAAGAGAAGAAUCUGAAAUGUCCUUUGAAAAUAAAUUUUCAGACUUAACCAUCAAAUAGUAUGGACAUGAUCCUCAUUCACAAAAGAUGGCUUGUAACAACAACCCGGGAAACAGGAAAGAACAAAUGGCGAAUACAGUGCAACUGGCUUUGGGCUCAGAAAUAGUUUGAUGAAAAGGGAAAGAACACAAGUCUACUUACUUGUCAUUUCAAAGCCCAGUUCUCAGAAGUCAUAAGGGACUGUAAUACUGAGGUAAACCUGCAGUUCCAUUUCAGUAACGAAAAGACAAUAAAUUAAUUUAAAAAAAAUAAUGCAUGCAAUAACUGAGGCUUC